RNAcentral lists this unclassified non-coding RNA (240 nucleotides) under soil metagenome. RNAcentral's name for it is "partial contains 5.8S ribosomal RNA, internal transcribed spacer 2, and large subunit ribosomal RNA". The record is from RNAcentral.
AACAUCGCGCACCUGCGGGAACCAGCGGAAGGAUCAUUACAGAGUUGCAAAACUCCCUAAACCAUUGUGAACGUUACCUAAACCGUUGCUUCGGCGGGCGGCCCGGGUCCUUCCCGGCGCCCCUCGGCCCUCGCGGGCGCCCGCCGGAGGUAAACCAAACUAUUGCAUUGUAUGGCCUCUCUGAGUCUUCUGUACUGAAUAAGUCAAAACUUUUAACAACGGAUCUCAGAUCGGAAGAGC